This 497-nucleotide ribosomal RNA is filed under the name uncultured bacterium. Its description in RNAcentral is "partial 16S ribosomal RNA". It matches the Rfam family "Bacterial small subunit ribosomal RNA", at positions 28 to 507 of the family's 1533-position model. The record is from RNAcentral.
GAUGAACGCUGGCGGCGUGCCUAAUACAUGCAAGUCGAGCGAACGGACGAGAAGCUUGCUUCUCUGAUGUUAGCGGCGGACGGGUGAGUAACACGUGGAUAACCUACCUAUAAGACUGGGAUAACUUCGGGAAACCGGAGCUAAUACCGGAUAAUAUUUUGAACCGCAUGGUUCAAAAGUGAAAGACGGUCUUGCUGUCACUUAUAGAUGGAUCCGCGCUGCAUUAGCUAGUUGGUAAGGUAACGGCUUACCAAGGCAACGAUGCAUAGCCGACCUGAGAGGGGGAUCGGCCACCCUGGAACUGGGACACGGUCCAGACUCCUACGGGAGGCAGCAGUAGGGAAUCUUCCGCAAUGGGCGAAAGCCUGACGGAGCAACGCCGCGUGAGUGAUGAAGGUCUUCGGAUCGUAAAACUCUGUUAUUAGGGAAGAACAUAUGUGUAAGUAACUGUGCACAUCUUGACGGUACCUAAUCAGAAAGCCACGGCUAACUACGUG